GCCAUUUUAGAGAGUUAUCUGCUCUCGGUGUGUUUCUUUGGACGCUCCCGAAUGGUUCGAUAUUUUUCCUGAAAAUCUCGCAAGUAGCUCUUUUAUUUUUCGCAUAACAUACUGCAGUAGGGUUAGUGAUUCAAGAUGAGUUACGGCAGACCUCCGCCUGACGUCGAGGGCAUGACAUCUUUAAAAGUCGACAAUCUGACGUACCGCACGUCCCCUGAAACGCUGCGGCGGGUUUUCGAGAAAUACGGCCGAGUCGGGGACGUCUAUAUCCCGAGAGACCGGUACACAAAAGAGAGCCGCGGGUUCGCCUUUGUCCGUUUUCAUGAUAAGCGGGACGCGGAGGAUGCAAUGGACGCCAUGGACGGCGCGCUGCUGGACGGCCGCGAACUGCGCGUGCAGAUGGCACGAUACGGGCGCCCGCCAGAUUCGCAUUACAGCCGCCGCGGAGGCCCGCCGAGGAGAUACGGAGGACAUGGACGGAGAAGCCGAAGCCGUAGUCCUCGGCGCAGGAGGCACAGCAGGUCUAGAUCCAGGAGCAGAAGCCGGUCCCGUUCCCGUAGCAGAUCCCGCUACAGCCGAUCCAGGUCCUACUCCCGUUCUAAGUCCCGAUCUAAGUCCCGUUCCCGCUCCAAAACCCGCACACCACGCAGAAGCAAGUCCAAAUCGGCUUCCAGGUCCCGUUCAAGGUCUAAGUCCAAGUCUCGCUCCAGGAGCCAUACUCCCAGAUCAAACAAAGGAUCCAAAUCACGAUCCAGAUCGAGAAGCAGACCCAAAUCUCCAGAGGAUACUGGAGCCACUGCUGAAUCCUGAGCUGAAACAUAGCUGCUGAUUCCUGUUUGCAAAAGAGGAGUUUGGGGCAGUUUGAGAGCAGUUAGUGUGUGAUCCGACCAUUGGCUGCCUGCUGCUGAUUGGCGGUUGCUAUGGAGCAGGUCGGUCUCAUUGAGUGUUGAGGUGGUGUUGAGAUGAUGUCAGCUGGUAGAAUCUUCGAGGAUCGCACCGCACAGAUGUCCAUCUGAGGAUACCCAAAUUAUCCAUAUAUCAGACCGAAAGGUUAUUGUAAUUUGGUCUAAAUCUUUUAAAUGACUACUUGUUGUUCUUUCUGUUGCCCACAAUUGUUUUUGUCUCAUACAUUUGAAUUUCAUGUGAUAUUAAAUGAUCUUUAUGCCUAAAUUGGGCUACUAGGUGAAAUCGCUUCUCUUCAUUUUUGGUAGUUU
This is an RNA transcript of Sinocyclocheilus rhinocerous, 1214 nucleotides long. It is a transcript of the gene named serine/arginine-rich splicing factor 2-like, with no coding region annotated. Lineage: Eukaryota; Metazoa; Chordata; Actinopteri; Cypriniformes; Cyprinidae. The record is from RefSeq and is a predicted model, not a curated record. The transcript has 4 exons.